AACGCUGGCGGCGUAGCCUAACACAUGCAAGUCAACUUGACUGAAGGAGCAAUCUGACAGUAGAGUCGGACGCAAGGGUGCGUAACGCGUAAGUAACUUGCCCAAGGUAAGGAAUAACGUCGAGAAAUCGGCGCUAAUAACCUCAUAAUGCAGCGGAUCCGCAUGGAUAUGUUGUUAAAGGUUUACCGCCUUGGGAUAGGCUUGCGUCUGAUUAGCUAGUUGGUGUGGUAACGGCACACCAAGGCUACGAUCAGUAACUGGUCUGAGAGGAUGAUCAGUCACACUGGAACUGAGACACGGUCCAGACUCCUACGGGAGGCAGCAGUGAGGAAUAUUGGGCAAUGCUCGAAAGAGUGACCCAGCAACGCCGCGUGGAGGAUGAAGGUAUUCUAUAUCGUAAACUCCUGUGAGAGCAGACGAAAGACAGAUUAUUAAUCUGGAUGACUGUAUGCUCAGAGGAAGCCCCGGCUAACUACGUG
Molecule: ribosomal RNA, 479 nt
Filed under: uncultured bacterium
Lineage: Bacteria
Description: bacterial SSU rRNA
Rfam family: Bacterial small subunit ribosomal RNA
Source: RNAcentral